RNAcentral lists this unclassified non-coding RNA (2019 nucleotides) under uncultured fungus. RNAcentral describes it as "sequence contains 18S rRNA gene, ITS1, 5.8S rRNA gene, ITS2, 28S rRNA gene". The stretch from base 870 to 2019 matches the Rfam family "Eukaryotic large subunit ribosomal RNA", at positions 1 to 961 of the family's 3401-position model. Lineage: Eukaryota; Fungi. The record is from RNAcentral.
GGAGGGAUCAUUAACACACUCGCGUUCAUUUAGGCAGUGUAGCCCACAAAUGUGGAAUGGCCGAUUCGGCACUGUGCUCUCUCGGUCUCUUGAAUCUGACCUUUCGACCCUGGAGUUGCCUAAAGGUGGAGGAGUUAGGGCUGGAGGAGAUUGGCUGAUUGGGUGCUUUGCUGGAGGAGCACACGUGGGAGCAUCUCGCCUAAACAACAAGCACGGUUCAAGUCUUGUGACCUUUUAAGCACACUCUUGUGGGCUUUUUGGGUCUCAGAUUCUUUAUUUUAAGAACACGGUUGAAUGUGCCCCUAUUUGUUUCUGGGAAUUGAGAGAGGACUUGUGCUAUUCAGGGCAGAGGGACGCCUCGCCCAGAGCUGCCGAGUUUCUCGAUCAAGAGUAUGAAAGCAUAAAUAAAAAUGAGAACUUUUAACAACGGAUAUCUUGGUUCUCGCAACGAUGACGAGCGCAGCGAAAUGCGAUACUUAGUGUGAAUUGCAGAAUUCAGUGAAUCAUCGAGACCUUGAACGCAUAUUGCGCCUGCAAGCAAUUGCAGGCACGCCUGUUUGAGUAUUGUUUGAGAAACAGCAGCAAACAAAAUGCCUUGCAUUCUGUACGCUGUUUGGAGCUGGGUUCCCAGGCUGAGAGCCUGGCUGCCUGAAAUUUAUAAAGAAGGAUGUCAGGAAAAAGGGUCCAUCACUUGGUACAAAAACAGUGCAGUGACAUUGCCUCCGGGCGAGAGACCACCACACUAUGAGUAGUCCAGGGCAAAAUGAUGAGAGGGUUUUUUAGGCACCUGCGAGCGAAAAAAGGAUGGGCGGAGUGCACUGUCACCCCGCUGCUCGAAACAAAAAUUCAAAAAAACAUUUUGAACAUCUCAAUCUCAAAUCAGGCGAGAACACCCGCUGAACUUAAGCAUAUUAAUAAGCGGAGGAGAAGAAACUAACAAGGAUUCCCCCAGUAACUGCGAGUGAAGUGGGAGGAGCUCAAUCUUAAAAUCAGCAGCAGUCCAUGUUGCCGAAUUGUAGUUUUGUGAACAGCUUCACGGGCAGGCUGCCUUGGUAUAAGUCCUCUGGAACGAGGUGCCAAAGAAGGUGAUAGCCCUGUGCAUGACCAAGGUGUACAUGGCCUGUCAACACGUGCUGCUGAUUCAGCGAGUCGGGUUGUUUGGGAGUACAGCCCAAAGUGGGAGGUAAAUUCCUUCUAAAGCUAAAUAAUGGCGAGAGACCGAUAGCGAACAAGUACCGUGAGGGAAAGAUGCAAAGAACUUUGAAAAGAGAGUUAAAAGUGCUUGAAAUUGUUAAAAGUGAAGCGAUUGGGAGCAGUACAUGCCCGUCGCCAACUCAUCCGCUGCUGCAGGGUUGGAGCGGUGUCGUCGAGUGGCUCUUCGCAGUCAUCGCGGUGCCGUCUUCCUGGCCCUGUGGGUGGUGGAGCAUUUUGGUGGCGGGUGAGUCAGCAUCAGUGAGCUCUCGAGCGGGAGAAUGGUCUGGAGGAGGUGAUAUGCUGUCUGCCCUCGGGCUCUCAGUGUGUGUUAAACUCUGGGCAGAUACCGUUCGGUUCACUGAGGCAAUCUGUGAUUGAUAACCGGCGCCUUCUUGGCGGGGUAAGAGUGGGACUGAGUUGUGCCAGAGGUGAGGACAGCUUGCUGUGCUUGUCGACUGGCAUGGCUCAUGGCCUGCUCUCCACUUGCCGGUUAGAGAUGCUGACCGAAUGUUUCCAAUCGUCCCGUCUUGAAACACGGACCAAGGAGUCUAACAUAUGUGCGAGCGAAUGGGUGGCAAACCCACGCGCGCAAUGAAGUGAGAGGUGGGAGUCGCGAGACGCACCAUCGACCAAUUUUGAUAUUUUUGGAUAGAUUUGAGUUGGAGCAUAUAUGUUGGGACCCGAAAGAUUGCGAACUAUGCUUGCAUAGGGUGAAGCCAGGCGAAGUCUGGUGGAGGCUCGUAGCGAUACUGACGUGCAAAUCGUUCGUCAAAUGUGGGUAUAGCGGCGAAAGACUAAUCGAGCAAUCUAGUAGCUGGUUUCCUC